ACCAAGAAUUUGACGUAUCCCCACCCAACUAGAGGAGCCUGUUCUAUAAUCGAUAAUCCACGAUACACCUAACCAUUUNUUCGCUUCCAGCCUGUAUACCUCCGUCGCAAGCUUACUGUUUGAGUAUAUACUAGUGAGCUAAGAGGCCGCCGCCACAACGUCAGGUCAAGGUGCAGCUUACGAAAUGGAAGUAAUGGGCUACAAUCUCUAAUCUAGAGUAAACGAAACACUACAUGAAAUAUAGUUAUGAAGGAGGAUUUAGCAGUAAAUAAGAAGUAGAAAGUCUUAUUAAACUCGGCCCUGGGAUGUGUACAAACCGCCCGUCACCCUCUUUGUAAUUCGUAACAAAUUAAUUAUACACCACCAAAAUAUAAAGAGGCAGUCGUAACAUGGUAAGUAUACUGGAAGUGUACUUG
This 416-nucleotide ribosomal RNA is filed under the name Raorchestes cf. parvulus. RNAcentral describes it as "partial 12S ribosomal RNA". It matches the Rfam family "Microsporidia small subunit ribosomal RNA", at positions 778 to 1303 of the family's 1311-position model. Lineage: Eukaryota; Metazoa; Chordata; Amphibia; Anura; Rhacophoridae. The record is from RNAcentral.